CCUACGGGAGGCAGCAGUGAGGAAUAUUGGUCAAUGGACGAGAGUCUGAACCAGCCAAGUAGCGUGAAGGAUGACUGCCCUAUGGGUUGUAAACUUCUUUUAUAUGGGAAUAAAACGUUCCACGUGUGGGAUUUUGUAUGUACCAUAUGAAUAAGGAUCGGCUAACUCCGUGCCAGCAGCCGCGGUAAUACGGAGGAUCCGAGCGUUAUCCGGAUUUAUUGGGUUUAAAGGGAGCGUAGGUGGAUUGUUAAGUCAGUUGUGAAAGUUUGCGGCUCAACCGUAAAAUUGCAGUUGAAACUUGCAGUCUUGAGUACAGUAGAGGUGGGCGGAAUUCGUGGUGUAGCGGUGAAAUGCUUAGAUAUCACGAAGAACUCCGAUUGCGAAGGCAGUUCACUGGACUGCAACUGACACUGAGGCUCGAAAGUGUGGGUAUCAAACAGGAUUAGAUACCCGAGUAGUC
RNAcentral lists this ribosomal RNA (460 nucleotides) under uncultured bacterium. Its description in RNAcentral is "partial 16S ribosomal RNA". It matches the Rfam family "Bacterial small subunit ribosomal RNA", at positions 338 to 795 of the family's 1533-position model. The record is from RNAcentral.